RNAcentral lists this long non-coding RNA (3075 nucleotides) under Oreochromis niloticus (Nile tilapia). RNAcentral's name for it is "lncRNA (ENSONIG00000029857.1)". Lineage: Eukaryota; Metazoa; Chordata; Actinopteri; Cichliformes; Cichlidae. The record is from RNAcentral.
UCCAUCGGAGCCACUAUAGCUUUUAUCAUGCCAUUACACUUUGUACUGACCAUCCUCCAAACAGGCAUCACCUUUGUUUACACCUUUAUCUCUACAUCUCAGAGGCCAGCUGAAACCAAGCCCCACACCUAUAUAAAAAUGCCCUAAGCAGCCACACUAACCCUUUACAUCGGUCAUUGAGAGCAUAACACUUUCGUUCAUCAGCACGAGCAUUUUACUUUUAAUUUAACUAGUUUAGGAGCAUUUUGCUUUUCUUUACCGCUCUGAAACACACAGAGGCUAAUAGUUUUCAAACAGUGUCACAAAUAACAUGUAUUCCUUUAGAAAUAAACUAUGAUACUUCUAAAAACAAACAAACACAUAUUCUUUCCUCAUCACUAGCCAAUUCACCAUUUUAUUUAAAUAUCUGAAUUUUCGGAAUAAUGAUCCAAGCGGGACACAGAGGCUGCUAGUUUAACGCACCAGAAUGCAAAUAUAAAUAAAUGCAUGACUAUCCUGAGAGCUAGCUGCAGCGACACCUUUCUUUCAGACGGAUGCCUGGAUGUGCGUUGGAGCCAACUGUGCUACCCGCACACAGCGUUUCUGACCUACGGGCGCUGCUUAUACAACAGAGAAAAGCAACAAUACAGCGUGUUUCUCUGCUCCAAGACAUCGGCGGGCCUUUCACACGAAGGAAGGUCACAGCAGGAGCUUUUUCAAACGCGUUUCCAAUCAUUUUUACAAGAAGUGUAGCUCAUACAAUGGUAUUAUUGUAUUAUUUGCGAUACUUUAUAAAUAUGAAACUCUAAAGAUUUGGAGUUCAUGCAAAUUGUGAAACAAGAAUCUAAAUAUUUGUGUCACAGUGAUUUCUAUAAAAGCAUGUUGUUUAUGGGGAUAAUGUAACAAAUCUUUUGUGGCCCUAUUAAUGAUCAAUGGUAAUUGAAGAGGAAGCUGAACCCCGGCUCUGGACAUUUUCAGGACAAGCGACAGCGCAGACAUCUACUAAUGAGAGAACAUGUUUUAUCAUCAUAAACACUGUGAUAUGAAGUAUCGUUAAAGUGUCACUUCAGUAAUGUUUUUAAUAGAUGACUUUAAAACACUAAACUCUAAUUUCUGUGGUUUAUUUUAAGUUUACAGAAUAUAACAUGUGGUAAGACGACGAGUUUUACUUCUCACAAGUUGUGAUAUGUGUAUCUAUUAUCAUGUAUGCUACUUUGCUCUGUGGACUGUAAAAUGUUUCAUUGUGUUCAUGAAAUAAACCAAACUUUCACCGUCUGCAUCUUUUACUGUUUUUUCUGCUUUUGUUCACUCCAAGUUUGACAAACCCACAGACAUCCAGAGUUAACUCACUAACAAUGUGGAGCAGUCUCAGUGUAUUUAGCAGCUUUUCCCCUAAACACAACCAACUGAGAGAAACGCUUGUAGUCCUCACUUUGGUCAUUUUGAACGUUGAAGGAGUUUUGUUCCAUAGACACCUUAUACUAGUGUUUCCUGCACUUAAUCCAUCACUACUAUGUUCUAUUUAAAUUCAGAUUCCUUUUAUAGUUUGCAGUUUCUUUACUAACACAUUUGUAGAUAAGUUUAUUGCUGAACCACACAGCUAGCAGUCUCACUCACUCUCUAGGUUUUGAAGUUUUGUGUGUAAUGGUUUUAGUCUAUCAAACCUUACCUUUUUCUCCCCAGUAUCACAACAGUAUGACUCCCAAAGUACGGCUCAGUAAACAACCAAUGAUUCUAAAGCCAGAACAGAAAGAUACAGUUGGAAGAUGCAUGAUUGCGUUUUUAUGAAGCGUAGUAAAACUGGCCCCUCUUCUUCUUCUCUGUGUUGUUGUUGUUGUUCUUGUGUGUGUGUGUGUGUGUGUGUGUGUGUGUGUGUGUGUGUGUGUGUGUGUGUGUGUGUGUGUGUGUGCCUUAGAAGUCAAAUAAUACAUUAGCCACACUUAAAAAAACAAAAAACAUUUGAAUUUCAUUUAGAACUGAGAUUCUAAGUUGUAAGCAGAAAUCUUGUGCUCAGCCACAAACAUGUUUCCCCACUUUCACAAUGCUGAGGUGUCAAAUCCACAACCCCCAACAAAUGGUUUGUUACACGCGGGUGUGAAGGGCAAGCUUUACUUACACAGCCUCACACACAGUAGAUUUUUAAAGUUUUUGGGUACAGUGGUUUAGCCACAGAUGUAACUUCUACUUUUGAUAAAGAUCACUCCACCUGCAUAUUUCUUAAGAAAUUAAGCAUCUUUAUUAAGCUCUUAUUUAUACAUGUCUACACAAUAAUAGACACUGUGUGCUCUGUGACAUUAUAGUCUUCUACUUCAGCGUUCAUUGGUUUGCAUUUUAAACUCCCAACCUUUCAGGUUGUUAUGAACGACUUAUAUUUCUAACAUUUUGUGAUAUAAAAGUGAACCAUGUGGGUUUUUUUUUUAAUUUUCUGUGUGAUGGAAUGACUUAAGACACGAGUUAUUUAAACAAUUCUAAAUGACAGUGUGAUGGCCACAGUACUUUAUGCUGGACCAAAUAUGUUAAGGAUAAUGUUUAUCAACGUAAAAUUGCAAAGAACCUUUGAAUAGAUUAUAACAUUUUGUAAACAGUUACCUCAGAACCUGUACUGUCAGCCCUAUGUAUGUAAGGUGAAACUUUCCACAGUACUUACACUUAAGUAACUAAACACAUAAAGUCACCCUUUACCAAUAAUCCACAGCUCCUUGAAAAAAGUAGCACAAACAGACAACUGACUCAGCAAUGAUGAGUAGAGCUACCCGAGGCCGAGACUCAAGCAGAAGAAAAUUAAAAGUUUUGGUUUUUGCGGCUCGAAAAAUUAAAGAAAGUAUGUUUAAUAAUUCAACAAGACCAGCACCUUCAACACGUGUACAUUCAAAUUUUGAAUCAGACUAACAUCGAUGUUGUUCAAUAGUUUUUAUCCGUUCAAAAAAAGCCAUUUUACGGCUUUAAUGUUUCCAGCUGAUAAGGAGAAUGAGUGCAUUUCAUCAAAUGCGCGUCCAAAGGCUUUAAACAUCCGCUUUGUCUGUAAAGACAGUAUCAAACUACAGAGCAUUGUUUUUACUAAAAUUCAACAUUUUCAGAUGAAAAUUUGGCUGCUUU